CCUUCGGGUUAGUGGCGGACGGGUGAGUAACGCGUGGGAAUCUGCCCUCAGGAGGGGGAUAACGGUUGGAAACGGCCGCUAAUACCCCAUAUGCCGAGAGGUGAAAUGAAUUUCGCCUGAGGAUGAGCCCGCGUCUGAUUAGCUAGUUGGUGAGGUAAGAGCUCACCAAGGCAUCGAUCAGUAGCUGGUCUGAGAGGAUGAUCAGCCACACUGGGACUGAGACACGGCCCAGACUCCUACGGGAGGCAGCAGUGGGGAAUUUUCCGCAAUGGGCGAAAGCCUGACGGAGCAACGCCGCGUGAGGGAUGAAGGCCUCUGGGCUGUAAACCUCUUUUAUCAAGGAAGAAGAUCUGACGGUACUUGAUGAAUAAGCCACGG
RNAcentral lists this ribosomal RNA (378 nucleotides) under uncultured cyanobacterium. RNAcentral's name for it is "bacterial SSU rRNA". It matches the Rfam family "Bacterial small subunit ribosomal RNA", at positions 84 to 496 of the family's 1533-position model. Lineage: Bacteria; Bacillati; Cyanobacteriota. The record is from RNAcentral.